This 90-nucleotide transfer RNA is filed under the name Yersinia ruckeri ATCC 29473. Its description in RNAcentral is "tRNA-Ser". Lineage: Bacteria; Pseudomonadati; Pseudomonadota; Gammaproteobacteria; Enterobacterales; Yersiniaceae. The record is from RNAcentral.
CGGUGAGGGAGGGAUUCGAACCCUCGAUACAGCUUUUGACCGUAUACUCCCUUAGCAGGGGAGCGCCUUCAGCCUCUCGGCCACCUCACC